CAAGAAAUCAAGGAAAUUGAUUACCUUCUAGAUUAUUAAACCCCAAAUAUAAUUCUUGGAGUCGUGUUAGAUUUCCAAUACUUCUUGGAAUGAUCCCCAUAAAUUGAUUAUAGGACAACGACAAAAUAUUAAGGUUGUUGCAUUUGCCCAUGCCAAAUGGAAUGUUACUAGAAAACUCAUUGCUAUCCAAGUAAAGCCCUUCAAGCUUGGGAAGAUGUUGACACAUAUCAUUAGGCAAACUACCUGAUAGGUUAUUGUUGGAGAGAUCAAUGGUCUUCAAAGAAGAAAUGUUGAAGAUCGAAGUUGGAAUCUGACCUGUAAAGCCUUUAAUUGCUUUAAUAUUAAGCAUUUCCAAACUAAGAAGUUUAAAUCAAUUAAGAAUAAAAUUUUGGCAUGGAAAAAUGUGAUGAAAUCAAUUAAAAAGUUGAGACAUAAUAAGAAGUUUUGAGUCGUAAUUAGUCCUUCUGAUUUGUAUAGACAAAACAUAUAAUACACUAAUAAUAAUUAGUUUGGCAUGAGAAUGUGGCAUCUAAUCAAUCUUAAAAAUGAGAUGACACUGAAUAAUAAUUAGUUAUGAUUUGGGAAACAAAAAUGUUAAAGCCAUUGCUUUUAAUGUAAACUAGUAUGAUUUUUAUCUAUUGGGUUAAUUAUUUAUUUUUAUGAAAUUAUAGUGUAAAAUUUAAAGAUUAUUUUUAUCUAUUACAAAUCAAACUCUUUUAUGAAAAAAAUAUUUUAAAUUAAAGAAACAAAGAAAAUUCAAUAUCUUCUAAGUUAUUCCACUCCAAAUAUAAUCUUCAGUGAAGAAAUCUUGAAGAUGGAAGAUGGAACCUUACCAGAUAAUUGAUUGAAUCCCAAGCUCAAGGACUCUAGAUUAGACAUGUUAACAAGUGUUUCAGGGAUUGUGCCUAUAAAGUUAUUAUUUUUCAUUUUCAGCCUUCGAACUCCCUGUAAGUUCCCAAGCCAUGAUGGAAUUUCCCCAUUAAGACUGUUGUAUUUUAAUCGAAGGAUCCUCAAACGAUGCAAUUGGCCCAAUUCUUUAGGGAGAUGGCCAUAGAAAUGGUUUCUACUCAAGUCGAGAGAGAGUAGAAAUGAAAGAUUUCCAAGGUGUGGAGGGAUACUACCCCUAAGAUUCAUGCUUUUAAGUUUGGAAACAAAUUCAACACAAUGUUUUUGGAGUUUGGAAAAAAUUAAAGUGAAAAACAUACCUUCUAAUUUGUUGUCAGAUAGUCCUAUUAUUUCGAGCAUAGUUGAAUUAAAAAUACUUGAUGGAAUCUGACCUGCACAUAUAGUUGAAAAUUGAAGUGAAAAACAUACCUUCUAAACUGUUCAACUAAAAAAACUUUAAGCAUAUUUGUUUUUCCAUCAAAUUAACUAUUUUGCCUUGAAUGAAAUAAAAUGCUCUUACUUUUGUUAUUUAUUACUAAUCAAACUCUUUUCUAAAAAAAAACUUUAAAUUAAGAAACUAAGAAAAUUCGGUACCUUCUAGGUUAUUAAACCCUAAAUAUAACUUCUGGAGUCGUGUUAGAUUUCCAAUACUUCUUGGAAUGAUACCCAUAAAUUGAUUAUAGGACAACGACAAAUUUUUAAGGUUGUUGCAUUUGCCCAUGCCAAAUGGAAUGUUACCAGAUAAUUCAUUCCAACUCAGGUAAAGCCCUUCAAGCUUGGGAAGAUGUUGACACAUAUCAUUAGGCAAACUACCUAGGUUAUUGUUGGAGAGAUCAAUGGUCUUCAAAGAAGAAAUGUUGAAGAUCGAAGUUGGAAUCUGACCUGUA
This 1772-nucleotide long non-coding RNA is filed under the name Gossypium barbadense (sea-island cotton). RNAcentral describes it as "long non-coding RNA (GBAR_LNC016648)". Lineage: Eukaryota; Viridiplantae; Streptophyta; Magnoliopsida; Malvales; Malvaceae. The record is from RNAcentral.